CUCACAUUUUGCUUAGUUAAUUCCUUAACGAAUCGAUUUUUAACUCAAUUUCUAUUUUCUUAGGUACAUUGGAGUAAAUGAUGGUGAAAUGAGCAUUAGGUCCACACUUACCUAUAAAUGGUGGAGAAAAAUGGAAAUGUACUAAAAUGUCAAUUUUACACAUUUUCCUACUCCGGCUAGGAGAAACCAAGCCAAGCAAGGAAGAAGGAGCGGCCGCCGGACCAAAUGAACUUCAAAUGAGCUGAAACUUUCCAGAUUCAUUCUACACAUCCUAAGGAUCAUUUCUUAUGAAGAGUGCCAGAGCUAUAAUUGAGUGGAAGGCCUUCAAACAGUCAGCCCAAUUUCCUGCAGAAGCAAAACUGGAAAACUGGACCUGUAAGAGGUCCAGCAGCAUUUCCAGCCCAAAGGCAUGGAAAUAAAUUCUGAAAUUUUACCAAAAUGAUCUACACUCAUGGUAGAUCAUUUCAUAUGAAGAAGUCACGAGCCAAAACUGAAUUCCUGUUGGAGAAAUAAUUGAAGGAAUAAAAGGGCAGAAACUGACCUAAAACAGCUCAACACCACAUGUUCAAGUUUCCUACCCACAUGAAGAAAGCUAGAUGCUUUUCUCUUUUUCCUUGGAUAUAUUUUUCUGCUCCAAUAGAUCAUCAUCACUUCCAUACUUCUGCACCUUCAUGCCUUGCUUUCAUUUCAUCAUUACUCCAUCUUUUCCAUAUUUUACAAACCACUUUCAUUAUUUUUCUUCCAUUUAUCAUUUCACUCUUCUUUUUCUUCCCUAUAUAAACACCUUCUCCUCUCACUCUAAGUAGAUUCCUUCAUCCAUUUCAUCUUCUUUGUCUCUCCAUUUCCAUUCCAUUUUUCUCUCCAUUCUCUAGUUGCAAAAUUCUGCGUUUUCAAGUAAGAAGAAGGAGCCGGGAAUAUCAUAUCCUCCAUCGUCCACCUUGAAGGCUUGCUUCCAAGAUUCAAGAUUUCAACGUUUCAAGCACUCCAUCUCCAUCUCCAACUCACGGUGUGUACCCUCAAUCCCCGGAAUAGAACGAUCCCUAUUUGCUUAUACUACUAACGAUGUUUUCAGGGUUAAAUUAUGCGCUUGCUCAAAGCGUAUCAUUAUCCACCAUCGCAGCUGCAGAAACUUGCUCUACCGCAUUGCUCCCCGUCGAUAUGCGCCUUGCUUUGUGUUCCUCACACAGCAGCCCUGUAGCGAGACCCACACUCAAUUCCAUCAUCAUUACAGGUCUGCGCGCAGUCGUCCUGCUCCGAACACAUGCAGUACUUAGCUGCCAUGAAUGAUAUGCAGCCAAACUCCGCCAGCCCGACCCGACCGCCGGCUGCCAUUCCAGUCCUUCACGCUGAUUACCAGAAGCAGUCAACCAGCCUUGAUCUGUAACCUUACUCUCCGUCGCCGCCAAUCUCGCCAAGUAUUGGUUGGCCUUAAAUCGACCUCUAGACAGACGAACCCGGAACCACCAAUCUCUCGCCCACCGAACCUUGGGUCGCAUCAGAUCAGCCUGCCAAUCCAUCUUAUUCACAAUAUCCAUUUUACUCCGGUGAGAAGCAAACAUGGUGAUACAAGGUUUAGGGCUAGAUUUGGUGGUCGCCGCACAAGAUCGGCGUUGGAAGGCCAGCAGCACGUGGCUUAGGACGGAGGUCAUUGCAGGCUGCCAUUAACGGAGUGUAGAGCUCCAGAGGCUAGGGUUUGGGGAGAGAGCUAUUUGUUAGCUUGAAUGUGCCACUUAAGAGUCUGGUAUAGCUGUUAUAAUUGAUAAAAAUUUAAAUAUGACCUACAAAAUAACUAAGAAUCCUAGAUAGAGAGUCUGCUAAAGAUGUUAUUAGGGUUUUAUUCAAACACAUUGAGGAAUACGAUAAUUUGAGCAAUGGUAGUCGGUGAAUUAGUACUCUUUCUGAAUAGAAAUAAGGCUCCGUGUUUUCUUUGUGGAUAUAA
Molecule: long non-coding RNA, 1939 nt
Organism: Rosa rugosa (rugosa rose)
Lineage: Eukaryota; Viridiplantae; Streptophyta; Magnoliopsida; Rosales; Rosaceae
Exons: 2
Source: RefSeq, a predicted model, not a curated record